Molecule: ribosomal RNA, 1279 nt
Filed under: metagenome
Description: SSU rRNA
Rfam family: Eukaryotic small subunit ribosomal RNA
Source: RNAcentral
AGUAGUCAUAUGCUUGUCUCAAAGAUUAAGCCAUGCAAGUGUAAGUAUAAAAACUUUGUACUUUGAAACUGCGAACGGCUCAUUAAAUCAGCUAUAAUCUACUCGAUAAUCCAAAGAUUAUAUGGAUAACCAUAGUAAAUCCAAGGCUAAUACAUGCGCAAAAAGGAGACUUUUGUGGGAUCCUUGCAUUUGUUAGAACUAAAAAUCAAUACGACCCUCGGGUCGUUUCUAUUGGUGAUUCAUAACAACUUGGCGGACCGGACCCAGCAAUGGGACGGUGCAUCGAAUGAGUUUCUGCCCUAUCAACUUUCGAAGGAAGUAUAGAGGACUACCUUGGUCUUGACGGGUAACGGAGAAUUAGGGUUCGGUUCCGGAGAGGGAGCCUGAGAAACGGCUACCACUUCUAAGGAAGGCAGCAGGCGCGCAAAUUACCCAAUGGGGAUACCCUGAGGUAGUGACAAGAAAUAACAAUGCGGGGCACGAAUUGUGUCUUGCAAUUGGAAUGAGAACAACGUAAACGACUUAACGAGCACCAAUUGGAGGGCAAGUCUGGUGCCAGCAGCCGCGGUAACACCAGCUCCAAUAGCGUAUAUUAAUGCUGUUGCAGUUAAAAAGCUCGUAGUUGAAUUUUGGAGUCGCUGCCGUUUGGUCCGCCUCGAAGGCGAGUACCGACGGUCGCUCUCUAUACCUGGUGUGAAUGUAUAUGUGGCAUUAACUUGUCACAUAUCCUGGGAAGUUCGCGACUCAGGGGUCAGGGGACUCGACGACGGAAAUGGGAGACCAUUUGCGCCUGCGGGUUCUCUGGCAACAUUUCACCUAUUUCACUUUGAAAAAAUUGGAGUGUUCAAAGCAGGACUUAGGUCCACUGUACAUUUUAGCAUGGGAUGAUAGAAAAAGACAGCCGUUUUAUUUUGUUGGUUUUUUAGAACGAUUGUAAUGAUUAAAGGGGACAGUUGGGGUUGUUUGUAUUGGAGCGUCAGCGGUGAAAUGCUAAGAUUGCUCUAAGACAAACUUCUGCGAAAGCAUUCAACUAGGAUGUUUUCGUCAAUCAAGAACGAAAGUUGGGGGAUCGAAGACGAUCAGAUACCGUCGUAGUCUCAACCAUAAACUAUGCCGCCUUAGGAUUGGGAAACGAUAAUUUCUAUGUCUCUCCCAGCACUAUUCGAGAAAUCAAAGGCUUUGGGUUCCGGGGGGAGUAUGGUCGCAAGGCUGAAACUUAAAGGAAUUGACGGAAGGGCACCACCAGGCGUGGAGCUUGCGGCUUAAUUUGACUCAACAC